AGUAACACAUCGGAACGUAUCCAGUCGUGGGGGAUAGCCCGGCGAAAGCCGGAUUAAUACCGCAUACGACCUGAGGGUGAAAGUGGGGGAUCGCAAGACCUCACGCGAAUGGAGCGGCCGAUGUCCGAUUAGCUAGUUGGUGAGGUAAAGGCUCACCAAGGCGACGAUCGGUAGCUGGUCUGAGAGGAUGAUCAGCCACACUGGGACUGAGACACGGGCCCG
Molecule: ribosomal RNA, 222 nt
Filed under: uncultured bacterium
Lineage: Bacteria
Description: partial 16S ribosomal RNA
Rfam family: Bacterial small subunit ribosomal RNA
Source: RNAcentral